GCCGAAGUGGUGGAAUCGGUAGACGCGUCGGAUUCAAAAUCCGAAGCUCUUCGGGGCGUGAGGGUUCGAGUCCCUCCUUCGGCACCA
This 87-nucleotide transfer RNA is filed under the name Bacillota bacterium. Its description in RNAcentral is "tRNA-Leu". It matches the Rfam family "tRNA". From Rfam's summary of the family: Transfer RNA (tRNA) molecules are approximately 80 nucleotides in length. Their secondary structure includes four short double-helical elements and three loops (D, anti-codon, and T loops). Lineage: Bacteria; Bacillati; Bacillota. The record is from RNAcentral.